GAUGAACGCUGGCGGCGUGCCUAAUACAUGCAAGUCGAGCGAACAGACGAGGAGCUUGCUCCUCUGACGUUAGCGGCGGACGGGUGAGUAACACGUGGAUAACCUACCUAUAAGACUGGGAUAACUUCGGGAAACCGGAGCUAAUACCGGAUAAUAUAUUGAACCGCAUGGUUCAAUAGUGAAAGACGGUUUUGCUGUCACUUAUAGAUGGAUCCGCGCCGCAUUAGCUAGUUGGUAAGGUAACGGCUUACCAAGGCAACGAUGCGUAGCCGACCUGAGAGGGUGAUCGGCCACACUGGAACUGAGACACGGUCCAGACUCCUACGGGAGGCAGCAGUAGGGAAUCUUCCGCAAUGGGCGAAAGCCUGACGGAGCAACGCCGCGUGGGUGAUGAAGGUCUUCGGAUCGUAAAGCUCUGUUAUUAGGGAAGAACAAAUGUGUAAGUAACUAUGCACGUCUUGACGGUACCUAAUCAGAAAGCCACGGCUAACUACGUG
Molecule: ribosomal RNA, 497 nt
Filed under: uncultured bacterium
Lineage: Bacteria
Description: partial 16S ribosomal RNA
Rfam family: Bacterial small subunit ribosomal RNA
Source: RNAcentral